GAUGAACGCUGGCGGCGUGCUUAACACAUGCAAGUCGAACGAAGCACUUUAUUUGAUUUCCUUCGGGACUGAUUAUUUUGUGACUGAGUGGCGGACGGGUGAGUAACGCGUGGGUAACCUGCCUUGUACAGGGGGAUAACAGUUGGAAACGGCUGCUAAUACCGCAUAAGCGCACAGCAUCGCAUGAUGCAGUGUGAAAAACUCCGGUGGUAUAAGAUGGACCCGCGUUGGAUUAGCUAGUUGGUGAGGUAACGGCCCACCAAGGCGACGAUCCAUAGCCGACCUGAGAGGGUGACCGGCCACAUUGGGACUGAGACACGGCCCAAACUCCUACGGGAGGCAGCAGUGGGGAAUAUUGCACAAUGGGCGAAAGCCUGAGGCAGCGACGCCGCGUGAGCGAAGAAGUAUUUCGGUAUGUAAAGCUCUAUCAGCAGGGAAGAUAAUGACGGUACCUGACUAAGAAGCACCGGCUAAAUACGU
This 480-nucleotide ribosomal RNA is filed under the name uncultured bacterium. RNAcentral describes it as "partial 16S ribosomal RNA". It matches the Rfam family "Bacterial small subunit ribosomal RNA", at positions 28 to 506 of the family's 1533-position model. The record is from RNAcentral.